Molecule: ribosomal RNA, 500 nt
Filed under: uncultured bacterium
Lineage: Bacteria
Description: partial 16S ribosomal RNA
Rfam family: Bacterial small subunit ribosomal RNA
Source: RNAcentral
AUUGAACGCUGGCGGCAUGCCUUACACAUGCAAGUCGAACGGCAGCGCGGACUUCGGUCUGGCGGCGAGUGGCGAACGGGUGAGUAAUACAUCGGAACGUACCCUGUUGUGGGGGAUAACUAGUCGAAAGAUUAGCUAAUACCGCAUACGACCUGAGGGUGAAAGUGGGGGACCGCAAGGCCUCACGCAGCAGGAGCGGCCGAUGUCUGAUUAGCUAGUUGGUGGGGUAAAGGCCCACCAAGGCGACGAUCAGUAGCUGGUCUGAGAGGACGAUCAGCCAGACUGGGACUGAGACACGGCCCAGACUCCUACGGGAGGCAGCAGUGGGGAAUUUUGGAAAAUGGGGGCAACCCUGAUCCAGCAAUGCCGCGUGUGUGAAGAAGGCCUUCGGGUUGUAAAGCACUUUUGUCCGGAAAGAAAUCGCGCUGGUUAAUACCUGGCGUGGAUGACGGUACCGGAAGUAUAAGCACCGGCUAACUACGUGCCAGCCGCCGCCGUAA